UCUAUGGCUUAAGUGUAGGCAGAGAGGUAAAUCAUUGAAAAUAUAGAACACUUUCUGUUUAGAUCAAGGGUGAUUUCUUAGAUCCAGUUUAUGUCAAUCAAACUGUUUUGCUAACUCUGAGACAAAAAAGUCAUUAACGGCAGAAUUUUUAGACUCUGAGUUAGCCCUACGCCUUCCCUCCUUAUUUAUUAGUUAUUUUUUAAAUGUGAGUAAAAUCUGAGUCAUUUUUUUUCUUGGUUAAAUGACUUUGCAGCAGCUGUGUCUCCACAUAUUCUCAGAUGCUGUCAUG
This 289-nucleotide long non-coding RNA is filed under the name Bos taurus (domestic cattle). RNAcentral's name for it is "long non-coding RNA NONBTAT013797". The record is from RNAcentral. Lineage: Eukaryota; Metazoa; Chordata; Mammalia; Artiodactyla; Bovidae.